CUGACACAGACCAUCCCCUUAAUAAUUCUUCAUACUACUUCCAUCCGGCCGCAGAUACAGAGCACUGAACUGGACUAAAGCCCAUUUCAAAAAAUGUUUGUCCCCACCGCCAUCACAGUGCUGAACAAACUAUAAUACUGCCACCACCACCUCAGUUGCAUUGUUGUUUUUCACAUUUGAUAUUCCUAUGUGGGUGUCUUAAUGUGAUGUGGUUUGCAUAUGUGUUACAUGUUUUAUGUGUUCUAUAUGUGGUGUUGUGCUAUGGAAAG
Molecule: long non-coding RNA, 269 nt
Organism: Etheostoma spectabile (orangethroat darter)
Lineage: Eukaryota; Metazoa; Chordata; Actinopteri; Perciformes; Percidae
Exons: 3
Source: RefSeq, a predicted model, not a curated record